Nelumbo nucifera (sacred lotus) is the source of this 2775-nucleotide RNA transcript. It is a transcript of the gene named cation/H(+) antiporter 15-like, with no coding region annotated. NCBI's taxonomy places the organism in Eukaryota, Viridiplantae, Streptophyta, Magnoliopsida, Proteales, Nelumbonaceae. The record is from RefSeq and is a predicted model, not a curated record.
CCAGCAGCAGAUCCGGAGGAGAGUGCUUUUACGACACGUUCAAAGUGUUUGGGGCCCUUAGACCACGCUAACCAUCCAUCCCCAUCUCUCUCUUUCUCUCUCUCUCUCUCCUGUGACAGUGACUCCCUCUUCUCCUCCUCCUCCACCACCACCACCGCCGCCUGCCGCCCCCCUUUUCCUCUUCCUUCUCCUCCUCCUCAUUGUGAAGGCCUAUCCUUCGCCCACGGACAAAAGGAGAGAGAGAGAGAGAAAAUGAGCUCCCAGAAUCAGAAUCAACCACCCAACCUUCCAUUGAAUUUGACAUCAAUGAAUGAGGUGUGUAAAUCGGAAAAUUUAAACAUCAACUCUAGAGGGAUUUGGUCUGGAGACAAUCCUCUGAAUUACGUCGUACCUAUCUCGAUUUUUCAAAUUUUCAUAGUUGUGCUGGUCAGCCGUCUAAUCCACAUCGUCAUCAAACCUCUUAAGCAACCCAAAUUCAUUGCAAGUUUCCUCAGUGGUAUAAUGUUGGGGCCGACGGUGUUAGGGCAGAGUGAGACUCUUGAGAGACUGGUGUACGAUGAAACCAAAGAAGCGGUAUUGAAUACAUUAUCUGAGUUAGCGAUGCUGUACAUGUACUUCUUGGUCGGUGUGAAGAUGGAAACAAAUUUAAUAUUGAAGCCCAAUAGAAAUGCAUUGAAGAUCGGUCUGUCAAACUUUGUAAUUCCUUUCAUGCUCAUAACAUUUUGCCUGCACUACCUACGCUCAUACAUCUUGGUACCGUUGGAGCCAUGGUUUCUCGUAUUAUUGUCUCUAACUUGGGCAAUAAGUUCCUUCCCAGCUAUUGCUCAUGUAAUGGAUGAGCUGAAUCUGCUGACCUCUGAAUUGGGCAAGCUUGCAAUGUCCUGUGCAAUAGUGAACGACAUGGUGUCAUGGUCCUUCAUAGCAGGCACUACCGUUUUCCGGCAGAAAAACUUGGUGAGCGCAAUUUCGGCAAUCGUGUCCGUGGCUGCAUUUCUCGUUUGUACAAUCUACGUGCUACGGCCGGGAAUUGUAGGGAUUAUCAGGAAAACUCCCGAGGGAAAUGCGGUGGGUCAGUCUUCCAUCGUGAUUAUACUGCUGGGAGUGUUGGUGACUGGAUUCAUCGGCGACGUCAUAGGUAUCACUGCUAUGAGUGGGGCUUUUGCCCUUGGGGUAAUUAUACCCGAGGGCUCAACACUGGGGGUGACCGUAGUGGAAAGGACUGAAAUCAUCCUGGGAGAGAUUCUUCUUCCCUUCUUCUUUCUUCGAUGUGGCUUGUUCUUCAAUAUUUUCAAGAUACGGAAUGUUAAGAAUUUGGCAGUUCUGGAAUUCAUCAUUUUCAUCGGACGCGUUGGGAAGCUGAUAGGCACUAUGUUACCUUGCAACCUCAACGCUCAACAUUCACUGUGCCUGGCUCUUAUGUUGAAUACCAGGGGCAUCAUCAACGUAAGCGCGUUCCGGAUGUGGAGAAUUUCUAAGGUGAUCGACGACGAAUGCUUUACUAUAUUCGUACUGAACGACCUCUUGGUCACAGCCUUAACAACGCCGUUGCUCACAAGCCUCUACAAGCCCCCAAGGUACUUCGCCACACACGCAGCGGGAACAAUCCAAAACGCACGACCCAACCAUGAGCUUCGAAUCGUCGCUUGCCUCCACGACGACAGAAGUGUUAACGACAAUACCUCCCUCAUCGAAGCUUUCCAUCCAACCUCGGAAAGCCCCAUCUACAUCUAUGUGCUCCACCUGGUUAAGUUGGUCGGUCGAUCUCUUGCUUUGGUAGCCGAUCCUAGCACCAUUUACAGGUGUGACUCCCGAAAGCUAACUACCUCCGAUCUUAUCAUGAGUGCCUUCAGAAAGUACUCAGACUGCUCCCAUGGGACUGUCGGCUUUCGUCCUUUCACCAUCAUCGCCCCCUACAAAACCAUGCACGAGGAUAUUUGUAAGAUAGCUCAUGAUAACAGGGCUUCUCUAAUUCUGUUGCCAUUCCAAGGGAACGACACCAAUGUGGGUGCAGGGGGUGGUACUGCCUUCUCUAACCUUAUCCAGAACGUACUCACCGUUGCACCUUGCUCCGUCGGCCUCCUUGUGGGUCAGGGUUACAAAUGUUGUCGCCUUGUGGUGCGUGGACACUUCUCUUACAGCGUGCUUUUCAUCUUCUUUGGCGGACCAGAUGAUCGUGAGACACUAGCACUGUGCAGUCGGAUGUCCGCCCACCCCGGAUUGAGUGUCACCGUCAUAAGGUUUCAAAUAUCCGACGACGGCAACGAUAAUGAGAGGGAAAAACAGCUCGACGAAUCAGUCCUACACGAAUUUAGACUCAAGAACAUCUACAAUGACUGUGCAGUGUUCCGCGAGGAGGUUGUAAAUGAUGUGGAGCAAGCUCUGCUUCUAAUUCGAUCUCUAAAGGCUGAGUUCGAGCUUGUGAUGGUGGGGAGACGGCAUGGGGCCUGCAAGAUGCUCAGUGGAGCUAUGGAAGAUUGGAGUGAAAAUUCAGAACUUGGGGUGCUCGGCGACAUGCUUGCAUCCUCAGACUUUUUGCAAAAUAACUACUCUCUCUUGGUUGUGCAAGCAGGGAUGUGAUGGAUAUUUAUAUAUACACUCGCAGUCGAUGUAGAUUGGAAUCUUAUCCUUAAUGCUGCUAACUGAGAAAAAACACACUUGCCCCAACUUUGGAGGUUAAUUGGGCUCGAGCUCUGCAGGUCUGGUUCUUGCAUGCUUACUUUGGUUAGAGAUGGGUUUUGUGAUUAUAUUUUGACAUUUGUAUCGGAAUGUUAGUGC